GGUUGAGGUAGUGGAUAGCUAUUCAGAAUUAUGGGCAAGUCUUGUUGGUUAUUAUGUUAUUGUUGUAUAAGUAUCUUUUGUAUGUAAUGAAAUGUUGUCGAUGAACCGAAAUGGAUAUACUGUGUCAAAGUGUUAGGAGAUCUCUCUUAUUUGGAAUUUCAGAAUGUUAAGUCUAAUUUAUGGUGAUAUGAACUUGUGGUGAAUAGUUGGAGUUCUGAUUGUAUAAUUUAUUUAGCUUGUGGAUUUAUAAAUGUUGUUCAUGUUUGUCAAGUUGGCUUAGGUUGCCAUGAAUGUGAAUUAUCGAGUGAUGUGAUAUAUGAUUAUAAACUGCACAGGUUUUAUAGAUGUGAAUUUGAUUGAAUGUUUUUCAGUGUCCUCAAAUGUUAGUUUGGAUCCUGGAUGGAUUGGUUUUUGAAGAAAUUAUUUUAAUAUCAUGGAUAAUUUUUUUAGGGGCGUGACACUGCGUGCCUAUGAUUAAGUUGUAAUCACAUGAGGAGGCGCAGCAGGAGCGUGGAUGCGAUAGCGGGACCCACGAGACGGACGAUCGUGAUGCAUGAAGAUGCAUCAAGAUGUCGACGGAACCGACGAGGACGAGAUGGACGAUCACAAGGCAUGGAGAUGCACCGUUGCACACAUAGAUCUUGAUGUGAGUGAUUAGGCCUAUUGGCUCGGGCCUAAUCACAUUAGGUUGUGGUCCAUGAUCAUCUAGUGUGAUUG
RNAcentral lists this long non-coding RNA (717 nucleotides) under Musa acuminata (dwarf banana). RNAcentral describes it as "long non-coding RNA (MACU_LNC008954)". The record is from RNAcentral. Lineage: Eukaryota; Viridiplantae; Streptophyta; Magnoliopsida; Zingiberales; Musaceae.